Molecule: long non-coding RNA, 2307 nt
Organism: Astatotilapia calliptera (eastern happy)
Lineage: Eukaryota; Metazoa; Chordata; Actinopteri; Cichliformes; Cichlidae
Source: Ensembl
UUGGUUCACUACCUUUAAUAAAGUUGGGUUUCACUUUCUUUUUACACAUUAAGAAGUUUGGGAGCUAAGGGGAGGGUGCAUAAGGUAAAUAUGUUAUAAAUAUAUAAAAAAAUAUAUCAUAACCAUCAAUACUAUCAUUACAGCCACCAUACUAUACCACAGCAUACCAUCACCCUCAUUAUCAUCGUAUGUAACAUCGCCAUCAUUUCCAUCACUAACAUCACACAUUAUGACAAUGUUUAUAUAAUUUAACUUGCUACCGCACGUGUGCUAAAUGAGGAGUCCUAUCUGAAUUAUUGCAUUUAUACGCUGUUGAGAUUAUGAAAAUAGGAAUUUUCUUCUUCUUCUUCUUUUUUUUUUGGUACACUGUAUUGUACAAUGUAAGGUGAAGUUUGUUUCAGUGUUGGCAUAGGCCAUCUAUGUUUUGGACAUGCUUGGGGUGCUAAGUGUAGUGAUGAGUGCUGAGUGUUAGCACAAUGUUAAUGGCCAGUAAUGUGUAAAAUGUAUACAUAUCCUUAAAGUUAAAUAUGUGUUAGAACUGUCUUAUGCAUCUACUUAUGGAACGGGGGACAAUCCCCCCCAUGAGCUUUGCAAUGUGAGUUGGAAAUAAUGUGUACAGCUGUACAAGUUAAUGAGUGCAGGAACAAAAACCGAGACUGCUUUUUUCCCUUUUGAUUAAACUACAGUUCUAUCCAACUAUAGAACAAUAGUUCAUGCACACCACACUUUCAUUGUAUAAGAGUAUUCGGGAUGCUCUCAUUACUAAUUCCUAAAUGAGGUUGACAAGGUUUAGAAAACAUAAGAGGGGCAGAGGGAGGACAGAAAUAACUAUCAUGUUUUGGCAGCAGGCUUUUAACCUGAUACACAACACUAAUGGCUGUUCAGCCUGCUACAGCUAAACAUCUACUGUAAGAUGUAAACAGAUUGAAACAGCAUGACUGCGGCUGCUGUGUAAGACACGAAAGGUUAUUGAUUUGUGAUAUAAUUUGACAGUAAAAUAAAUCUGCUUAUUCUACAAUAAUAAAUAACUGCACUAUUAUACUCUGGUCCACAGUAUACAUAUUUUACAUCCAACGACCCUUCAUGUGCCAUUCCUCGACCCCUGCAUACUUAUGUGUUCUCUCUGAAUUUUUAUUGUGUUGUACUUGCUUGUGUUCGCCAGUUCGAUGUCUCAUACGCUCUAUACUAAUAGAGGAACUCAGUACCUUCCAUUAGGCUAUCAAUGAUUUAGCCAGAGUAGCUUCAAAACACCACAGUGCACAAUCCCAGCUAUUCUCUGCUCUUCUCUUCCAACAGUCUCAUUUUAAAGUAAAGUAAAAACCUAGAACUCUGAUAGCUGCUAUUCAUAUUUCAAAGGUUCAAUAUUAUGAUUUGAGGCUUCACGUGUUUCUUUUAGCAAAGUGAACCAAGCUCAUUUCUGGUGCAAGAAUGUACAAAUAUUUAAACAUUUUUGUCAAUAUUUGUUCAAAUUAGAUUAAACCAGACAAAGCAGCUGAAUAAGCUACCUUUAAGAGUUCAGGUUUUUAGCUCGGCGUAAGGUUUUUUUGAGUGUGUUUUUUAUAAUUAUAUAAUUACACUUCAGAUGCAGUAUUGUAGCAAAUUCAUGCAUAUAAUAUGUGUAAUUAUGCUCCAUAUACAGCCUUGAUCGGAAAUCAAAUGAGUUGAUUCACUACAAGUGAAAGCAGGGCUAAAAAAAACAAAAAGAAAAAGUCCCCAAUCUUUAUCAUGAUAGUCUGUGAACCAAUCAGCAGCGACCAUCUAAGUCAUCAACCAAUAAAUACCCCAACUUCAGAUAAUGAUUUGGUUUUAAUUUCUCCUCGCCAGUAGCAAUACUCCGAGCAAAAUGGCUCCCGCAGCAAUAACGGCCCCACCAAUAAGAAAGGGCUUCAGGUGUUCCAGAGAGUCUGUGCCGGAGGCUGCAGCUUCGUCACCUGCUGCUGCUGUCUCUGUUUCCGCUGCUCCAUCCUGCGCAGGAGGGCGAUGCUCCGGCUCAGGAGCUGCAGGGGCAGGGUCAGACUUGCGUGGGGCAGCCGGCUCCUUUUUCUCCACUUUAGGUGCUGCCUUUGGAGCUGAAGUCCCAGGCUUGCCUUUGGCUUCCAUCAGCUCUGAGACAGAGGUGUGGUCUGGUCACAGGAUACUUUAUAAGGUCAGCUCUGUGCUGCUUCACUGAGGAAAAAAAAAAAGACAGCAAACAGACAUUGCCAGAUUAUCCCUCUAAACUGGGCUCAGACAUCAUGUCAUAUGCUCUGUUGAGUGUAAAGCCACUGGCAUAUGAAAGACCACCUGAUAAUCAUGGAUUCACCUUAC